GCACCCGUAGCCUAGUCUGGAUAAGGCGACAGCCUCCUAACCCUUUUGGAGCGAGCUGUAGACCCCGAGUUCGAAUCUGCUUGCGGCCACGGUCCUGAAACCUCAGGUCUGCACACGGCCGGAUGCUGUGAAAGUCUCGGCGGGUGCG
This 148-nucleotide transfer RNA is filed under the name Candidatus Woesearchaeota archaeon. RNAcentral describes it as "tRNA-Arg". Lineage: Archaea; Nanobdellati; Candidatus Woesearchaeota. The record is from RNAcentral.